AUCACCUCUUCUUUAGUAUGGAAUCUUCUCCAAAUCUUGCUUUUGUCUGUCUCUGAUUAGGCUAAUUUAGAUUUUCUUCAGUUUCUUGAUGAAAUCCUGUGGAGCUUUGGCCUCUCCUAAAAUCAAAAAGGAGGAAAAAAAUCUACAGGUCUUCCAUGCCCGUCAAACAAGGCUAUUGCCAUCAUGCCCUUACUUGUCUUUGUCCCUACUAUUAACAAUUUUUGCAUCGAGUCACAUUUUAGCUGAAGUUAUGAUC
RNAcentral lists this long non-coding RNA (256 nucleotides) under Elaeis guineensis (African oil palm). RNAcentral describes it as "long non-coding RNA (EGUI_LNC004949)". Lineage: Eukaryota; Viridiplantae; Streptophyta; Magnoliopsida; Arecales; Arecaceae. The record is from RNAcentral.